GUCCACGCCGUAAACGCUGAGAACUAGACGUUGGAUGACAUAGUCGUUCAGUGUCGCAGCUAACGCGUUAAGUUCUCCGCCUGGGGAGUACGGCCGCAAGGUUGAAACUCAAAGGAAUUGACGGGGGCCCGCACAAGCGGUGGAGCAUGUGGUUUAAUUCGAUGCAACGCGAAGAACCUUACCUGCCCUUGACAUCCUGUGAACCUCUUGGAGACGAGAGGGUGCUUUCGAGAACACAGUGACAGGUGCUGCAUGGCU
RNAcentral lists this ribosomal RNA (258 nucleotides) under uncultured bacterium. RNAcentral's name for it is "partial 16S ribosomal RNA". It matches the Rfam family "Bacterial small subunit ribosomal RNA", at positions 793 to 1050 of the family's 1533-position model. The record is from RNAcentral.